RNAcentral lists this microRNA precursor (82 nucleotides) under Cavia porcellus (domestic guinea pig). RNAcentral's name for it is "miRNA (ENSCPOG00000038960.1)". The record is from RNAcentral. Lineage: Eukaryota; Metazoa; Chordata; Mammalia; Rodentia; Caviidae.
CUUUGGGGAAUUAAACUGCAGAAAUAAAAGUAUGCAUGUGCAUGUGCAUAUGCAUACACACACACCCAUACAAACACACAAA